This 1346-nucleotide ribosomal RNA is filed under the name uncultured bacterium. Its description in RNAcentral is "partial 16S ribosomal RNA". It matches the Rfam family "Bacterial small subunit ribosomal RNA", at positions 28 to 1381 of the family's 1533-position model. The record is from RNAcentral.
GACGAACGCUGGCGGCGUGCUUAACACAUGCAAGUCGAACGGAAAGGCCCUGCUUUUGUGGGGUGCUCGAGUGGCGAACGGGUGAGUAACACGUGAGUAACCUGCCCUUGACUUUGGGAUAACUUCAGGAAACUGGGGCUAAUACCGGAUAGGAGCUCCUGCUGCAUGGUGGGGGUUGGAAAGUUUCGGCGGUUGGGGAUGGACUCGCGGCUUAUCAGCUUGUUGGUGGGGUAGUGGCUUACCAAGGCUUUGACGGGUAGCCGGCCUGAGAGGGUGACCGGCCACAUUGGGACUGAGAUACGGCCCAGACUCCUACGGGAGGCAGCAGUGGGGAAUAUUGCACAAUGGGCGGAAGCCUGAUGCAGCAACGCCGCGUGCGGGAUGACGGCCUUCGGGUUGUAAACCGCUUUCGCCUGUGACGAAGCGUGAGUGACGGUAAUGGGUAAAGAAGCACCGGCUAACUACGUGCCAGCAGCCGCGGUGAUACGUAGGGUGCGAGCGUUGUCCGGAUUUAUUGGGCGUAAAGGGCUCGUAGGUGGUUGAUCGCGUCGGAAGUGUAAUCUUGGGGCUUAACCCUGAGCGUGCUUUCGAUACGGGUUGACUUGAGGAAGGUAGGGGAGAAUGGAAUUCCUGGUGGAGCGGUGGAAUGCGCAGAUAUCAGGAGGAACACCAGUGGCGAAGGCGGUUCUCUGGGCCUUUCCUGACGCUGAGGAGCGAAAGCGUGGGGAGCGAACAGGCUUAGAUACCCUGGUAGUCCACGCUGUAAACGGUGGGUACUAGGUGUGGGGUCCAUUCCACGGGUUCCGUGCCGUAGCUAACGCUUUAAGUACCCCGCCUGGGGAGUACGGCCGCAAGGCUAAAACUCAAAGGAAUUGACGGGGCCCCGCACAAGCGGCGGAGCAUGCGGAUUAAUUCGAUGCAACGCGUAGAACCUUACCUGGGUUUGACAUGGAUCGGGAGUGCUCAGAGAUGGGUGUGCCUCUUUUGGGGUCGGUUCACAGGUGGUGCAUGGCUGUCGUCAGCUCGUGUCGUGAGAUGUUGGGUUAAGUCCCGCAACGAGCGCAACCCUUGUUCACUGUUGCCAGCACGUUAUGGUGGGGACUCAGUGGAGACCGCCGGGGUCAACUCGGAGGAAGGUGGGGAUGACGUCAAGUCAUCAUGCCCCUUAUGUCCAGGGCCUCACGCAUGCUACAAUGGCUGGUACAGAGAGUGGCGAGCCUGUGAGGGUGAGCGAAUCUCGGAAAGCCGGUCUCAGUUCGGAUUGGGGUCUGCAACUCGACCUCAUGAAGUCGGAGUCGCUAGUAAUCGCAGAUCAGCAACGCUGCGGUGAAUACGUUACCGGGGCU